AUUGAACGCUGGCGGCGUGCCUAACACAUGCAAGUCGAGCGGUAACAGGUGUAGCAAUACAUGCUGACGAGCGGCGAACGGGUGAGUAAUGCUUUGGAAUCUUCCCAGUAGUGGGGAAUAACCAGUCGAAAGAUUGGCUAAUACCGCAUACGUCUGUAAAGGGAAAGCGGGGGACUCGCCUCUUCUUCGGAAGAGAGGCCUCGCGCUAUUGGAUGAGCCAAAGCGGAUUAGCUAGUUGGUGGGGUAAUGGCCUACCAAGGCGACAAUCCGUAGCUGGUCUGAGAGGACGACCAGCCACACCGGAACUGAGACACGGUCCGGACUCCUACGGGAGGCAGCAGUGGGGGAAUAUUGGACAAUGGGGAAACCCUGAUCCAGCGACGCCGCGUGUGUGAAGAAGGCC
RNAcentral lists this ribosomal RNA (403 nucleotides) under uncultured bacterium. RNAcentral's name for it is "bacterial SSU rRNA". It matches the Rfam family "Bacterial small subunit ribosomal RNA", at positions 30 to 416 of the family's 1533-position model. The record is from RNAcentral.